GAUGAACGCUGGCGGCGUGCCUAAUACAUGCAAGUCGAGCGAACGGACGAGAAGCUUGCUUCUCUGAUGUUAGCGGCGGACGGGUGAGUAACACGUGGAUAACCUACCUAUAAGACUGGGAUAACUUCGGGAAACCGGAGCUAAUACCGGAUAAUAUUUUGAACCGCAUGGUUCAAAAGUGAAAGACGGUCUUGCUGUCACUUAUAGAUGGAUCCGCGCUGCAUUAGCUAGUUGGUAAGGUAACGGCUUACCAAGGCAACGAUGCAUAGCCGACCUGAGAGGGUGAUCGGCCACACUGGAACUGAGAAACGGUCCAGACUCCUACGGGAGGCAGCAGUAGGGAAUCUUCCGCAAUGGGCGAAAGACUGACGGAGCAACGCCGCGUGAGUGAUGAAGGUCUUCGGAUCGUAAAACUCUGUUAUUAGGGAAGAACAUAUGUGUAAGUAACUGUGCACAUCUUGACGGUACCUAAUCAGAAAGCCACGGCUAACUACGUG
RNAcentral lists this ribosomal RNA (497 nucleotides) under uncultured bacterium. RNAcentral describes it as "partial 16S ribosomal RNA". It matches the Rfam family "Bacterial small subunit ribosomal RNA", at positions 28 to 507 of the family's 1533-position model. The record is from RNAcentral.